AUGUAGAGAAAGGGGCGGAGCUACGAUGACAGGGCUCUACGAUGCGCUCCAGAAGUUUGUGGAAAUUUUCGAUAUCUUGAAUAGUCUAGAUAUAGUUACAAUUUUUCACCAUUCCAAGGCCACUAUUUCUAUUUAGGAAAAUUUGUGACUCAAAGUCUUAUUGCUUCCAUUGAAGCUGUUUUUAUAUAUAAGAUUUAUGAGGUACUUUUCAAUGUUUUUUGGUCAGGCUUUUGGACCAGACGCUACACAGACCAGACUGCCAUCACUGAAUGUAAAUAAUGGUUGUAUUGUUUUAGUUAUGAUGUAACGUGUUUUAAUCAUUUCUCCUUUCAUGUUUAUUCAAAAUUUACAAGUGUUGGAUUUGAACUCAAGACUCAUUAUCAUUAUCAACUACGGUACACGGUGUAUAUAGUACAGUAUACAGUCAUGGCCAAAAGUUUGCGAUCACUAUACAUUUGUUCAUGAAAACGGCUGUAGAGCAUGCCAACAACUGUCCAUAUGCAAAUCUACGCCCUUAUUUAUUUUCCUAUUAUUACAUUUACUUAUCUAUCUAUCAUAGAUCGAUAGAUAAGUAAAUGUAAUAAUAGGAAAAUAAAUAAAGGAAUAAAUGACUUGAUAAAACAAAUAUAAAGAAUUUUAAUUUAUUUUAGCAUGCCUUUUUUCCUUCGUUUAUUAUUUUUUGUGUUUAUUUUAUUAAUUUAUUUUAUUAAUUCUUUUUAACUUUUAUGUAUUUUUCCAUUUCUUUUAUAUUUAUUAUUUAUAUUCAUGCGUUCAUUUAUUUUUAUAUUUAUUUAAACUUUUUUUAAAAAAAAAUCUUUUUGCAUUUAUUCUUACAUUUCUGUAUCUUGUAUGAUAAGUAGGUGGGUGGUCUUACCAUCGGUUCAUUGUAGAUUGAAGUUUACGCUCGAUUAGUCUUCGUUUGUUUUGGAGUGACAUCGGGUCGUAGUUCUCGUAUAAACUACGGCGGACACAACUUAGCAAACGAAGUGGAGAGCCAUGCAUCAAAUGACUGUGUUAUUUAGAGUAGAGGUGCUUACUGAUGUUUUAGGACAGCUGUAUGCCCGUAUGCAUGUUGAAGUUCAGCCUGAAUUGUUCGGCUCUCUGCAAAAUAUUGCCCUGCAUAUUCAGGAUCUGUGCGAGUCAGAGGGUGCUACGGUUGAACGUCCAUCUUAUUCACUUCACAUAACUUAUCUCUCACUGCGUCAAACUGUCGCAAACACUGCAAAGUUGUUUGGUGUACAUGAAAGAACAAUCCAGCUCCUAGUAGCCUUAUAGCCAAGGGCGGAGAUUUGCAUAUGGAUGGUAGGGACAUAUCCCUAUCAAUAUUUUGGGAGGGCAGAAUUGUCCCUACCAAUAUUGCGCGAACUCAUUCGUAUUAUCUUUGGAGUGAAGUCAUGUCAAUUCCACAGCAUACUCUCCCAGAAGCUCCAGGAUUUAGGCAUGCUAGCAUUUGAUUGGCUGAAAGGGAUGGGGGCGGGACUAUCUAAAGGCUCACCUUACGUGCAAAUAUCAAGCUGCCAGUGUAGAGUACAGACACGCAGGCGAGGGCUGAUCGGCUGACAAUGCUAACUGAGUUAUCAAGGCUGUCAGCCCAUACCUCAAGCAUGGGUGAAAAAUGUAGUCUUUCAGAUGACUUUACUCCUUUUGCUCUAUUGCCUGCACGGCACAGCAUACAUAAAGUAUUUUUCCUGUGCCAACACAUUUUGUACUUUGUAGAUAUCAUGCCACCGAAAAAACGACGAGACAUCAGGAGCUUUUUUUCCCCCACCCAAAGAGAAACGCAGCAGCAGGCUGAAGUAGAGCAGGAUGAAACAGCUGCGUCUUCAGGGUUUCAGCAUGUGUAGAGCCCUGACCUCAACCCCACUGAACACCUUUGGGAUGAACUGGAACUGGAGCUUCCUGACAUCAACAUCAGCACCUGAUCUCAACCUCACUAACGCUGUUGUAGCUGAAUGAACACGAGUCCCCACGGCCACGCCCCAAAAUCUAGUGGAAAGCCUUCCCAGAAGAGUGGAGCACGUUAUAACAGCGAA
This is a long non-coding RNA of Ictalurus punctatus (channel catfish), 2033 nucleotides long. NCBI's taxonomy places the organism in Eukaryota, Metazoa, Chordata, Actinopteri, Siluriformes, Ictaluridae. The record is from Ensembl.